Long non-coding RNA from Brassica napus (rape), 1053 nucleotides. RefSeq lists it as uncharacterized. The transcript has 3 exons. The record is from RefSeq and is a predicted model, not a curated record. NCBI's taxonomy places the organism in Eukaryota, Viridiplantae, Streptophyta, Magnoliopsida, Brassicales, Brassicaceae.
GGAGCCCUUUAGGUCUGCGCAUCUGUCAGGUUCACACCGCACUCUUCCCGUAAAAGUCUCUCUCUGCUCCAUCUCUUUCUUUGAUAACUCCCAUCACUUAAAAGCAUUCUCCUUGAUAGAAAGAAACAUUACAAUUAACUACAUCAAUCCCCUAAAAAACAUCACAUUCUUAGAUUUUUUUUUUGAUUUUAAGUGAAAAAAUCAGGAAUUUUGAUUAUGCAUCUCCAAUGACGAAAUCAGGUUUUAAUGUCAAGAUUUGAAGGAAAAAAAUAGUGAUUUUGAAGAUGAGAACUUUGUGGAAAUGAAGUAAUUUCAUUAGAAAGUUGUUCGUUUUGAAGAGAAGAAGAAGAUGGAUUUUGGCAGAGCACAUCAAGAGAAGGUGGAAGGAGGAGGAGAAAGCCAAUGAAUCUCCUUUGUUCAUCCCACUCUUCUUACCUUGCUUCAUCUUCUACUUUUUACAACGCUAGUGACGACAACAAUAAUGAUAAACAGGUAUGUAAUGGAAGUGUUACACAAACAAGAAUCGAAAUAAAAGAUAAACGUGAUUGUGGUGUUGAAGAAGAUAAGGGUUGCGGCUGCUAAACAAAAGAUAAUAAAUAGGAAGGAGAAGAAGAAAAAUGGGACAUCUUGUGCGUCUGAUGAUCGGUGAAUGAGAGAGGGUUCAUCAAGGGUCAUGAAGAUUGCAAGUCGACCAUACAAAAGUUAAGAACGAUGAAGAAAUAUUUAGUUAACAGUUAAGAAAAUAUUUGAUUGUAUUAGGUACGAAGGAUCAUGGUUGGGUGCAGGCUAGCGAUGAAGUUCUUAUGGGCGUAUGCACCACAGAGGAUAACUGAGAUAAAUCCUAUGAGUGUAGACGGAGGCACAUGGUCAUCUAAAAACUCAAGGAUGCUUUCUAUGAGUGAAUUCAUGGUAAUGCAAUCUUGUUGUUAACGGUAAUAAAUAUAUGUGACGACUAAGUAUAAAUGUAACUGUUAAUUGUUUUUAAAAUAUCUGAAGUUAACUGUUUUUUAUAUGUGAAAUUAUAUACAAACCAUGUAUCAUUUAAAUACAAAU